Molecule: long non-coding RNA, 3666 nt
Organism: Panicum virgatum (switchgrass)
Lineage: Eukaryota; Viridiplantae; Streptophyta; Magnoliopsida; Poales; Poaceae
Exons: 2
Source: RefSeq, a predicted model, not a curated record
CACACCUGCGUUUGCUUGCUGUGAAUGUUGAAUUGUAUAUUCCAUAGCAUUUGAUUUGGUACCCUUCUCUAUAAUUCUCAAAUUGACGCAUUAGUAGCAACUAUUGGAUCAUCUUUUAUAAAAAUAAUAGAGUGUAGAUAUUAAGGUUAUACACGAUGACAAUUGAUGGGAUGCAUUGAGAAAGAAGAAGCCAAACAGAUGAAAUAUAAGUCAAAUUAGAGACAUGUAGGCUGUUGUUGGGCAUGGUGGCGGGGCAAUUUCCAAUAUUAACAAACCAAAAGGGAAAACAAGAUGCAAAUUCCUGUGUCAACAAUAACCAAAAAUGUAUACCGUCAUGUUUAGGUUUUGAUGAAUUUUCAAAGUUUUGACUCCUCUUAGUGCAAAGAGAUUUAAUAAUCAAAGCCAAGAUAAGCAAUCUCUAUAUAAAUAUUUCAAUGAAAAUCCACAUACAUGCAAUGCAACCAUUAGAUAGCAUUAAAAAUGGAAGAUUUGUCAACCUUUACAUUUCAACUGCAUCAAUCAAGCACCAUUAUAAAUAAAACUUUCUUAAAAUUUGGAAAUGAAAUUAAUACGAAUUCGAAAUAAUUUUAUAUCUUUAGUGGGACAUAUGAUCAGCCAAUCUAUCACCCAUCAGGCAUAUAGCGAAGUGUACUUGCUCUUGCCAUGCUGGAGCAACCAUUUUCUAGUCUCUUCCCUUAGUGUCGUAAUGUUGUAUCAACAUUCAUGGAGUUAACAGAGAGUGUUGAGAUAUUGGAAAUGGAAGCAUCAGGAAAGAAAAAGAAAGGAUAUUAAUUAAUUUAUCUGAACAUUAGUAGGCGUCUAUAUAAGUGUUGGCUCAUUCUCUACCUGGCAUCCAUGCAUGUUCCCUUCCAUUUAUUCGGACCCGAGAAUGUUUAUCCUAUGUUCUAGUUCAAUCCUGCAGGUCAUUUUGCCCGAUGUGCCUCAUGUUCAUGUUUGGGUGCGAGAUUGAGACAAAUCAAGAACUGAGAACACCAUAAUCAGCUUCUAGUUGCAACUUCUAGGAAGCAAUCUUCUCAAGGAGAUUUGGCUGUCCUACCAAUCGCUUGUCUAGAAAGGGUACCCAAUCUUUCAAAUACUUGUGCUUCAAUGGCUCAACAAUCUGACACACUUCAAUAUACGAUCUUCCAUCUGACAGUACUGUCGGGAGUCUGGAAUCCCAAAUGUCAAAUUAGACAAGGCGUGCCGCAUAAACUGUGUUGACGUGCUGAAGGAAGUUGUUGACAUCUUCCAAAGGUUAGAGGGAAUGGGUAGCAAUGAUGUCGAGGUAUAGGAACGAGAUGUCUACAUGAGUAGCAAAUGAGCAGUAUGUUUAUCGCUGAAAAGGAUAUGCACUAUAUUAUCAUAGUUAGUUAUCUGCUGUUGAUACUGUAAUAAGUAACAUAUGAAUGUUUUCUACCAUUCCCUCAAAAAACAUACUCGCUCAGUCCCAUAAAGAGUGCAAUUCUAGUUUUUUUUCAAACAGAUUAAUGGUGGACUGGUGGCGUGAAAAGACACUCAUGCUCUGAUUUGUUGGCCAUAUGCAGUUAGUUUUGGUACACAAAUCAAAUUAGACCACAUAAUUAGGUAGGUAGUUGUGAUCCAAUUUCUAGGAUUGCACUAUUUUUGGGACCUUUUUCAAACCAGGAUUGCACUUUUCAUAGGAACAGGAUAGAGGGAGUGAAAUCGAAGCAAUGUUAGAAACUUAAUUGUAAAACAAAUGUUCCUAGCUACCUACCUAUCAUCCAUCCACCGUAUAAGAAGCUACUCUUGGCACGCGCUGCUCUCCACGCAUAAACAUUUCCUGCCCUCCCUUCCUCUGCAUAGCGACACUAUCAAUUUUCUUGAGAUGGUGUAAGAAGGCUGAGAAAAUUCAUCUGCCUAAAAACCAUCAAGAAAGCCCAGGUAUUGGGAUGGGAUGCACUGGGAUAGAAAAGAGGAGAUCUAGGGAUCCUGUGUUUCCAAUAGACAUGAUUUGUUGUCAUCGUUAUGUGGAACCUCGUCUCACGUCAAAUUGUGAUUCUUGGCAAUCCAGGGAAGCAAUGAGAGUUACUUCAAAAUUAGUUCCGUAAUAGAGGGGAUACAUUUCCUGCCUCCUUCCAUUGGCACACGUAAAGUCAGCAGCACAAUGCAAGUCCGAAAGGGUAGAGGGGACGAGAGUGACAAUGCGCACCAAGAACGAUGAUGAGGUAGGGGAAUGGGGUGCAUUUAGAAACCAGAGUACCUCUCAUGAAAAAUCCAAUGUGAUUAUGGGAUGUACAGUGAUAAUAUAUUUCUUCCUGUAGCAGUUGAAACUGAACUUCUGAGCAUAGCUAUGCUCGAAAUUCUUUUUGGGAGUGUUUGAGUCACUAAAAAUUUGACUUCCUAGUUUGGAAAUCUCAAUUGCUGCUAGACUACAACCACGUGUGUAGCUAUGAGAUUCUUGCUCUUGAGUGUGAGAUUACAAUGAGAAUCGCCCAUAUCACUGCAUUCAUGUUCUUUCUCCAGAAAAAUAGGUACUGUAAUUUUUUUAUUAUACAACAUAUGUUAUACAAGCAUUUUCUUUCCUACUUUCUUCCCUAUACAUUAGUAUGAUGAAUGGCUUAUCUGAUGUACUUUGACCAGAGUCAAAAUCUGAAGUGCAUUUGGAUUCUCUUAAACUACAUAUUCUAUUUUGUUGGACUCAGAUGCUGAAAAAAUUGAAGGGUGGAGAAGAUAACACCCAGGGAAGGCAAAGCUCUGCCUCAGAUUGGUGUUUUCAGAGCAUCGAUGGAUGCCUGGAAACCUUGCUCCUCGCCGCGGACUGAAUCCCCUCGCCUGAAUCUCAUCCGCCGGGCUCAACGUCGCUGCCUCUGCCGACCCGGGAUGCAUCCUCCACGCAGGGGUGCCGCUGCUGCGAUCCCCGCCGGCGAUGCCUGCUCAUCCUUCCGAUCCAUCUCCAUCUCUAGAUCUCUCUGUGCAUCUCCCUUUAAAUGAAAGAAAAAGACUGAAGCUUGCCUUGCUUUGCGCAGCCAUGCAGCGGCAUCCCGUGCGGAUUUUGUGGAGAUGGGCGCGGGAUGGCUAGCCAGUUGAGGUCUCAAGUUGCCGGUGGCGAGCGCGCAACCUCACUAGGAUGCCCUGUCGCCGGCCGAAACAUUUGGUAUACUUGCACUAGUAGCUAGAAUGAAGACAAUACAAGAACCAAGCAGCAAGGGACAUGACUGAUGUCUGAUAUAGGCAUACGCAUGGGAUGCAUUAGGGAAUAAAAUUGGUGUCAAACAAAUGCUUGUUCAUGUCGAAUAAUGUAUGCCAGCGCCGUGGAUCUUGGAUCAGACCCGGCUACUGCAAAUUCUUGGUGAUCCUGAAGAUUGAUGCAAGGGAACGAAGCGUGCAAUGAAGGCAGCAGAUAGAUGUGUAGGCAAAAUCGUGUGAAGGACAUGCAAUGAACUCCAGAUCUGCGAGAACCUGUCCGGGCCAUGAAGUGUGAAAGAAGGAACAACCAGACAAGCACUGUGAGAGCAGCGCUGCUCUGCACCGGAUUGAGGCUUGCUACCGUGGUAGUGAAAGAAAAUUUGAAGUAAUAUGUAAUUUUCAUAGUAUAAUUAAUACUGAAAUGAGUUUUUUUGCGAUAUUGGAGAAUUUAGUUGGAUUAUAUGGAAGAGACAAGCUAUGAAACUUGGGAUUUAAUUUGUUGCAUCGCUUUAACAUGCA